AUUGAACGCUGGCGGCAGGCCUAACACAUGCAAGUCGAGCGGAUGAAGGGAGCUUGCUCCUGGAUUCAGCGGCGGACGGGUGAGUAAUGCCUAGGAAUCUGCCUGGUAGUUGGGGAUAACGUCCGGAAACGGGCGCUAAUACCGCAUACGUCCUGAGGGAGAAAGUGGGGGAUCUUCGGACCUCACGCUAUCAGAUGAGCCUAGGUCGGAUUAGCUAGUUGGUGGGGUAAAGGCCUACCAAGGCGACGAUCCGUAACUGGUCUGAGAGGAUGAUCAGUCACACUGGAACUGAGACACGGUCCAAACUCCUACGGGAGGCAGCAGUGGGGAAUAUUGGACAAUGGGCGAAAGCAUGAUCCAGCCAUGCCGCGUGUGUGAAGAAGGUCUUCGGAUUGUAAAGCACUUUAAGUUGGGAGGAAGGGCAGUAAGUUAAUACCUUGCUGUUUUGACGUUACCAACAGAAUAAGCACCGGCUAACUUCGUG
This 484-nucleotide ribosomal RNA is filed under the name uncultured bacterium. Its description in RNAcentral is "partial 16S ribosomal RNA". It matches the Rfam family "Bacterial small subunit ribosomal RNA", at positions 30 to 507 of the family's 1533-position model. The record is from RNAcentral.